RNAcentral lists this ribosomal RNA (445 nucleotides) under uncultured bacterium. RNAcentral's name for it is "partial 16S ribosomal RNA". It matches the Rfam family "Bacterial small subunit ribosomal RNA", at positions 354 to 796 of the family's 1533-position model. The record is from RNAcentral.
GUAGGGAAUAUUGGUCAAUGGACGAAAGUCUGAACCAGCCAUUCCGCGUGCAGGAAGAAGAUUCUAUGGAUUGUAAACUGCUUUUAGCAGAGAAGAAACGCCUUCAUUGAUGAGGGUUUGACGGUAUCUGCGGAAUAAGCACCGGCUAACUCCGUGCCAGCAGCCGCGGUAAUACGGGGGGUGCAAGCGUUAUCCGGAAUCACUGGGUUUAAAGGGUGCGUAGGCGGGAAAUUAAGUCAGUGGUGAAAGUCUGUUGCUUAACGAUAGAAUUGCCGUUGAUACUGAUUUUCUUGAAUUGGGUUGAGGUUAGCGGAAUGUGACAUGUAGCGGUGACAUGCAUAGAUAUGUCAUGGAACACCAAUUGCGAAGGCAGCUAGCUGGGCCUUGAUUGACGCUGAGGCACGAAAGCGUGGGUAGCGAACAGGAUUAGAAACCCGGGUAGUCC